CCUCGGGGCGCACCAGUGAGGAAUUUUGCGCAAUGGGGGGAACCCUGACGCAGCAACGCCGCGUGAGUGAAGAAGGCCUUUGGGUCGUAAAGCUCUGUCAACUGGGAAGAAAUUAGAGUUGUUUAACAGAUGAUUCUAUUGACGGUACCAGUGGAGGAAGCGCCGGCUAACUCCGUGCCAGCAGCCGCGGUAACACGGGGGGCGCAAGCGUUAUUCGGAAUUAUUGGGCGUAAAGGGCGCGCAGGCGGUCUUGUCGGUCAGGUGUGAAAGCCCGGGGCUCAACCCUGGAAGUGCACUUGAAACAGAAAGACUUGAGUACGGGAGAGGAAAGCGGAAUUCCUGGUGUAGAGGUGAAAUUCGUAGAUAUCAGGAGGAACACCGAUGGCGAAGGCAGCUUUCUGGACCGAUACUGACGCUGAGGCGCGAAGGCGUGGGUAGCGAACGGGAUUAGAUACCCUAGUAGUC
RNAcentral lists this ribosomal RNA (465 nucleotides) under uncultured bacterium. RNAcentral's name for it is "partial 16S ribosomal RNA". It matches the Rfam family "Bacterial small subunit ribosomal RNA", at positions 339 to 795 of the family's 1533-position model. The record is from RNAcentral.